GUGAGUAACACGUGGGUAACCUGCCCAUCAGAGGGGGAUAACAUCCGGAAACGGAUGCUAAAACCGCAUAGGUCUUCGAGCCGCAUGGCUUGAAGAGGAAAAGAGGCGCAAGCUUCUGCUGAUGGAUGGACCCGCGGUGCAUUAGCUAGUUGGUGAGGUAACGGCUCACCAAGGCAGUGAUGCAUAGCCGACCUGAGAGGGUGAUCGGCCACAUUGGGACUGAGACACGGCCCAAACUCCUACGGGAGGCAGCAGUAGGGAAUCUUCCGCAAUGGACGCAAGUCUGACGGAGCAACGCCGCGUGAGUGAAGAAGGUUUUCGGAUCGUAAAACUCUGUUGUUAGAGAAGAACAAGUGCUAGAGUAACUGUUAGCGCCUUGACGGUAUCUAACCAGAAAGCCACGGCUAACUACGUGCCAGCAGCCCCGGUAAUACGUAGGUGGCAAGCGUUGUCCGGAUUUAUUGGGCGUAAAGCGAGCGCAGGCGGUUCCUUAAGUCUGAUGUGAAAGCCCCCGGCUCAACCCGGGGAGGGUCAUUGGAAACUGGGGAACUUGAGUGCAGAAGAGGAGAGUGGAAU
This 576-nucleotide ribosomal RNA is filed under the name uncultured Bacilli bacterium. RNAcentral's name for it is "bacterial SSU rRNA". It matches the Rfam family "Bacterial small subunit ribosomal RNA", at positions 106 to 667 of the family's 1533-position model. Lineage: Bacteria; Bacillati; Bacillota; Bacilli. The record is from RNAcentral.